Rattus norvegicus (Norway rat) is the source of this 7996-nucleotide non-coding RNA. NCBI's taxonomy places the organism in Eukaryota, Metazoa, Chordata, Mammalia, Rodentia, Muridae. The record is from RefSeq and is a predicted model, not a curated record.
GGCACUUGUCCUAUAGCUAAUGGCAGGAGUUGGAUCUCUGGAACCCACGUAAAACUGGAAAGACAAAACUGACUGCACAGGUUGUCUGUCCUCCUACCUCCACAUGAGCUCCAUGGCAAGUUCAUAGGAUAAAACAGGAAGUUCAGCUCCUUUUUUUUUUUUUUCUUUUCUUUUUUUUCGGAGCUGGGAACCGAACCCAGGGCCUUGCACUUGCUAGGCAAGCGCUCUACCACUGAGCUAAAUCCCCAACCCCAGAAGUUCAGCUCCUUAUCACACCUCAUUUCCUGUUCUCAGCAGCCACACAGUGCUUCUGCAGCAGUCAACAGGGCCACGUUCCUUCCGUUCCAGAAAGUUCCACUGGUUGGUAUUUGCGGGAUGAUGUCACAGGUGAAGGCAGGUACAAGAUAGAAGGAGGCCUGUCAUUGGACAAGAAGGAAGGAUGGGCGGGAGAAAAGUUUGAAGGAGGAGGAGGAGACUGGAACAGAAAGGAGGAAGAGACAGGAGGGAGAGGGAGAGAAGCCGUGCAGGACAAUAUGGCGGGUGAUGUUAAGAUUCCACGCUGUACCUUUACAGGAGCAACUUUGAUCUACUUCAUGAGCCCAAGAUUUUAGUGACUGUCGGGCAUGGAACAAAAUGGCAACAGCUAUACUAGCAGGGCAGGCAUCAACAGCCUGGAGCUGCCUUCUCUCCAUGUGAAGGGGGCCAGCUGUGUGCCUCUGACUUGAGGCUGCUGUUGCUGCUGGGAAUGAUAAAUCUGGCUCUAGUGCUCGUGGAGCCUGCCUUGAGCCCUGCCUAAGCCUGGGCUGCUGAUGAAAACGAUGAGCCUGGUGGGCACGAGCACGAGGUCAGACGUACGGGCUCUGCAUUAGGUGAUGAGCAGCUGUGAUCGGCCUCCUAAAGCCAACAUUGUUUUUCAGAUAAAGACCACUACAUCAAUUCUAUGAACAAGAUGGGAGAUCAAUAUAUAGAGGUACAUAUUUAAAUGACGAGUAACAGACAAAUGCGUAAGUGAUGACUCAAUAGGUGGGGUACGCCCCCCCCCGCCUGUCUACCAUAUGUUGCCUCUGUGAAGGUUCAAGGUCACUUUAUUUCAUAUUCCUGCCUCUCUGCAAAGAAUAAUUACAGGGCUGACGAGAUGGCUCAGCGGUUAAGAACACUGACUGCUCUUCCACAGGUCCUGAGUUCAAUUCCCAGCGACCACAUGGUGGCUCACAACCAUCUGUAAUGAGAUCUGGUGCCCUCUUCUGGCCUGCAGUCACAUAUGCAGGCAGAAUGCUGUAUAUAAAAUAAAUAAUCAAAAAAAAAAGAAUAAUUACAGAAGUAAUUUCAUCGGGCUACUGUGAGGUUUAAGCAGGGAAUCUACACAAAGACUACUUUUGUCCCCUCCCACACAGUAAGGCCAAGGCCGAUGGGCUCUGUGUUUCCAUUGCUGCUGUUCAGUUAUCGUGCUUGUUUCUAGUUGCCCGGCACUAUUGUAUAAUGAUCUGCUCCCACCUCUUGUCCCCUAUGCCUCACCUUCCUUCACAGUUCUGCUUGGCUCCUCUAGACAUUGCAGGAUUUGUCUUCCCCGUGCUAAGGACCUCUGAAAUAGCUGUGUAUUUCUAAUCUGCUUCCGCAAGCAUCCACUUCUUUACAAAGAGUAGCCAGUGAGUGCCUGUGACAAUUUCCAGGAGCUCACGUUCUGAGCAUGUGACAAUUUCAUCUGCGCACUCCCCAAACUAGCCUCUCCUUUCCUCUGUGCCUUAGCUUGGUUCUCUCCUGAGCCCAUCUUAAGACAAGACUCUAGGGAGAAAAGUGAUCUGUUUACAAUGUGAUCCAGGCUGAGGCAGAGGGAUGAGGGAAGGGAAGUGGGACAGGAAAGGGCAGGGAGAUGCCAAUAAAGGGAAUGGUACAUAUACGUGACUUUAGGGAGAAUGGGGAACCUUUGGAGACUGUAGCAUGUACCUCAGGACUUUCCCAGGCCAGGGAGGUGGGGUAUUCACCCAGCAACUCCUGUCACUCAUUGAUCAGCUUUGUUCCCUAGGGUCUUACAGUACCUCUGACAUUCCAGCACUUGUGGCAAAUCCCACAUCCCUGAGGUACACACAGGAACCGUCCAACAUAGCAGGGGAGGGAAGCUAGGGGUAUGUACACACAGGAACCGUCCACAGAGGAGUCUGCCACAGACAACCGAGGGGUAUGGAUGUAUAUCUAGUUGAAGCUUAUCUGGAUUUUAUUUUAGGUGAAACAGAGUUUCGAGAAGCUAUGGAUGGAUUCAUCCACAAAUCCAGAAUCCUGGAAAGACCAAAGGGCCACAAUUCUAGCCUUGAAGAAUAGCAGGCCACAGCCAAAGUGCCUCUCCGCUACCUGCAAGGCACACAUAGCCUGCUGCACACACAUGUGGGAGGGAUGGGACGAGUACUGCAGACACUCGUGCUGGCUGGCAAGUUUGGCUUCCCUCUACAUGACAGCUCUGGGGUUUGACUGCAUUGCCCGGGGUAUGCUGACAGCCAGGGGUUUGCAGGCUCCCUCCUCAGCAUCCACACAGCCCUUUCAGCUGCCUGGCCUAGGGGGAACAAGUCCCUGGACCUGGCUUUGGAAGCAUUAUGGCUUGGUCACCAGAGGAAUCAUUUCCAGUUGGCUCUACAUAGGGAACCUGACACUCUAUGUUUUCUGUUUUUGCUCCCCUUUUGAUACGGCUGCCUUUUACCUCCCAUUAAGCAAAAGCUCCCCUUCAAACCAUGAGCUGCUGAAAGAUGACCGGGUGCGUGUUUAUACCUUUGGAAGGGACCUAAGCCAACUGAAGGACAAGCCUGUCCUUCCGCAGCAGGACCCUGAGCAGCCUGAGUCUCACAUCUCUGUCAUCUCGCUCUUCUCGGGUGUGAUCCUGGCAAAAACUGGAGAGCAGUGGGUCGCAUGGGGUGUGGUGUUCUAGAGGCUGUGGUGUUGGUAAGUGUUCUUAGAAGCAUUGGUCUCCCCACUGAGCCACUGUGUGCAUUUUCAGCACCAUUCAUGAAGAACAUGCUCUGCGUGAAGGCAGACUUGACGAGUAAAAGCUUGGAGAUUUGGGGACGUGGGGGCCCCACAGUUAUGCCCUGGAAGGUCAGGCAGGCAUGUGCGUGCUGCACAGCAUCUACAGGAGUCCUGUGUUUCCACUGAACUGUAGAGCAGGGAUGAGGGGAGAUGAGAGAUGGUAAGGACAUGGGGGAGAGGUCAGGGCACCCCUCUCGCAGCUGUUAAGUGCCCUUGCCAUCUCACCAUGCCUUUCAUACCCGUUUGUGUCGGGUCUUUAUUAGACUGGAAAUAGCUGAACUUUGGUCCUUUGAUGUCUGACAGCCCUGUAAUGUCACCGUAGGUAGAUCAAUGGCGAUGGUGACAGAAACCAAUUAGCAACGCCCUGGCUCUUAUGAUUGCACCUACAGGUUCCUAGCUGGGAAGAGUCUGGGACAUGGGGCCCUGUGAGUGGGACUCCAACGAGGCUGCAUCAUUUCUUUGCCAAAUUCAGAGGUUCCCAAAGUUAAAGUCAUCACUGGCAGAGUCCAGUUCAGUCCCUGUCAGGGCAGAAGGGAGGGGACUGGGAAGUGUGGCAGUGUGUGGGAGACGCAAAUCAAAGACCCACUUCCCCGUUCCUUUGCACAGACCUUCCCUGGAUACCACUUUUUUUCUUCAGGGACUUAACUGAAAUGAAAUCUUUGCCUUUUAGGGCAUUAGAGCAUCCCUGUCUCCUCUCUGAGCCCUGGGGGAAUGGGACCAGGGGGCUGGGACGUUUCUUGUGGCUUCCAUCUUGGAUUUCAAGAGCCCCCAGGCUCUCAAAAGCUUAGGAACGCUGAAAGAGAGGAACCGAGUUUUGCAGGCUAUGAAUGGGCUUGCUAUGGAGCCUCGCUCCUCUAAUGUAGUGUAGCCUCGUUCCGCUCCACUUCCAAAUCCGUUCUUGCUGGGUAUGGUGGGGCGUACCUCUAACCCCAGCACUUGGAAGGCAAGGGCAAGACAAUUUUUGUGAGUUCAAAGCCAGCCUGAUCCAAGAUCCAAGACAGGCAGGGUUACCUAGAGACCCUGUCUAAAACAACGAAAGGCCAGCUUUUUCAUCCCUAGAUUAUCUGACCCUCAGGUAUCUUGAGCGAGGCACCUGACAAGUGAGUUAUGUCUUAUUUAACUUCCCUUUAACUCUACCCUUUUAUCACGCCAGUGAAGGAAGACUGGCCGGGAAGCAUUUAUGGAAUUCACAGUACAUUGCGAUAAGUGGUUUAGUUGAAAAUGGAAAAAAGAAACAUUCUAGCAACUCCUGCCAGCAGGAUGGUUGGGCUUAACUGAGGAAAGGGAAGUGCUCGCAUCUGGAAAGGCUGAAAAAGCAGAGCCUGCCAUCUGGGGGUGCGUUCAGUGCUCACCCCACCCCCACCCCGGGUAGGACAUCUCUUACCGCAUUCCAGAUGAAGAUUCCAGAGCUGGCUUGACUCUCUCAGGGACGUUCAGGACCUAGAGCUUCUCUGCCUGAUGAUGUUAGCAUGGCGCCUUGGUCUCCGUUUGCUGAUUGCUAGGUGGGACGACGACAGUGGUACUGCCCCAUCAGGAAGGUCUUGAGGUUUCUCCUGUAGGCAGGGCUCCCGGGACAGUGUUUGUAAAGCCUUUGCAUGUUAACUCCUGUCCUUGGCCACCACCGUCAUGACUGGAUUUCAGCUGUGACUUUAGUUUUCUCAUGACUGCUGUGAUACAGCGGUGGAGUAUGGGGUGGGCAGCAAGAUACAGGGGCCUCUGGGUUUCCCGACUCGUCCCCAGUGCCAUCAAGUGUUAUUUACACUUGUCCCCAUUAUGCAGAUAACCUUGGCGUUGGUCGGUGCUGUGACAUUGGGACCAUAGACAUUAAGAAACCACUGCCCAGGAGGACGCACAGGCCUCUGAUAGUGUCAUCAACCUGGGAGCCAGGAUCAAUGGCCCCCUCACUGGGGGCAACACCACACACAGGGCCCAUCUUAGACAUUUAUCCAAUAGGUGUUUCCAUGCCAAAACAGAGCAGCUUACGGAACCAGAAAGCCAGGUUGAGCACAUUACUUAGCAGCGAUAGGUUAACUUGCUUUCUAUCGCAGCAAUAAAGACCGUGACAAAACACAGCUCAGAGGAGAGGGCUCAUCUCUUGGAACAGCUUACAGUCUGUCACCCAUGGAAGCCAAGGCAGGAACCUGGAGGCAGGGGCUAGAGCAGUGACCUGUAGGAGCCCUGCCUGCCGGCAGGCUUGCUAGUAUAACUUGCUCGAUUUGCUUUUUUAAACAACUCAGGACCACCUGACCAGCAAGGCCUUGCACAUCCAUCCUUAGGAAUUUAAAGGCCAAUCUAAUCCCCAGAUGACUCCAACGUAUGUCAAGUUGACAAAACCCCCAACCAGUACAAGUGGCUUCCCUUUUUAAAGUCUAAGCAUUGUAAUUCUUCACACCCUUAAUUUAGAGCUAAUUCUCAGCGUAUAAUUAGCCCACACUUUACACUGUACCGCUGCGGCAUCUUUCUACUCUUGUGAGCACUUCUCGCUGGGGGCCAGGGUCGGGGAAUUAAGCUCUGGACCACAGCCCAGCACUGGGUGAUGUCCUUCACCAGCAAGCUUGGGGGUUCAGAGGCCGUGUAAUCUAACAAGGAUAGCCCAAAGGGGUAGGGAGAACAUCGGAGACUGUGACGGUUGCCAUAGCAACAUGGUUAGGGCAGGCCGGCCUGGUAGCACCUACAUGAGCAAGGGUCUGCAAAAGUAGACACAGAAAGCAUAGAGUAUUAUUUCCAUGUGAUUCUUGAGUCCAGUAGUUGGGAUAAAAGCAAACAGGAGAUCCCGCAGAGUGCGUUGGAGAAGAAUCCAGAAGGUGGUUGUCUGGGAAACCAACCAGGCUAGAAGAAGCUGGAAUGUUGGUCUGCAAAGGGGAUUGAAGCUGAACACCCGGAGAAGUCGUGCCCACUGAGGGGACUGUGUCAUCUCCAGCACAGCUGGUGACUCUGACCCUGUGUGAGCAUUGGGCAUUCGGUUCCCAGGCUGCUUCUGAAACGUAAGAGAAUGUAAUCUCCCUACGGAGUUGAAACGGGGGACUAUGCAGGCCUUGCAGUGAACCGGGGACAUGGAAACACGUGCAGAGUAAACGAACGAUGUCUGUGCUGGUGUUUGUUGGGAGGUGAGCCGGAAGGAAACUGUUGUGUGAGAGCCAUCUUAUUCUCUGAGAAACGAUUACAGGCUAGGCACGGCAGUGCCUGCAUCCCGGCAUGGGUUAACAAAAUGUAUUUUGUCCCCACCUGUUAAUUCUAAUACCUGAGAGGCUGAGGCAGGACUGAGUUUGAGACCCUGUCUGAAGACAGCACCAACACUGCCAACUACUGAUACCUCAGACUCUGGCUGUGUGGCACGCGAUGAUUUCAUGGGGGAUUGUCUGAAAUAUCUCCAUCUCGCAGAUAAGAGAUUCAAGCAACAGAAAACCGCAUUACAGAAUGCAACGUUAGUUCAUGCCAAAGUCACAACCUUAAGAGACCCUCUGACGUCUCCUCAUGUUUAUUCUCUCCCUACAUGGCUGUCCUGUAGGCCUCUGGUCCUUUGACCUCACUGUGACUCAGAAUCUCUGGGAGAACGUUCCGGAAGCAGAACAAGGGACCAUGAAUGGUGUGCAGUGCUCUCUGGACCGCCUCAGGGACCCCAUCCACUUCUUUCUGGUCAUGCUGGCCCCGAGGCCACAGCAGUUUGGCAUGUCACUUUUCCUCCCCCACGCUGUUUGUGACCCCUGGGCAUGGCUCCAUUUCCUUUAUGCAAGAAGGAGCAAGAGGAAGAAGGCAUCUGGGAAAGGCACUUGGAUGCUUGUACCUUCGAGAUAAGCACCACAUCUCAGCUCUCUGGGCAGCUUAGACCAUCACCCACCAAGUGUCUCCAGCUGUUUUGCGUAUGUCCUGUGGCUUUUCUACAGCUGAGAGCAAAUGUGUCACUUUCUGCCAAUGAUCCUGAGGGCCAAGCGUGACAACUUGAAGGGCACCCAUUAACUGAAGUUAGAACGAUCUUCCUCUCAACUCCUUCAAGGGACUGGUUUGGAUGUUGCCAGUGUCAGGACUGAGGAUGUAGCUCAGUAGGCAGAGGCAGGUGGGUCUCUGAACUCCAGGCCAGCCUGGCUGACAGAGUGAGUUCCAGGACAGCCACUCUUGAGAUAGCCUCUCUCAAGAAAGAAAAACGUUGGGUGUGGUGGGCUAUGCCUGUAAACCCAGCACUUGGGAAACGCGGGUGGGAGGAGUCCUCAGGACUAGGCUUUAGCAGGGGGAAAGGAACUCAGAAUUCUUACAUUUUAAUAGUCACUGGGAGCUUAAACCAAUCAGAAUAUUCUGGCCCAUGUUCUAGCCAGCCAUGCUGGUCUUGAGUUGAAUUUGCCGCUCUUCUGGAAGCAUUCUUUAGUUGAGUGUCUUUCAUGAAGUGAAGCCAUUUGCCGGAGAUGAAAACAAUCUUUGCCUGGCUUACAAACCUUGGGCCAGGUCACAGAUUUUCUGCUCUGGUGGCCAGUGUGGGCGAGCCUCGUUGCAGCAAUCAAGCUAAAGGCCAGCUCUGAGGAAGAGUCUGUGUUGUCUGCAGUGAGCACACGGGGAAUUCUCAUCACCGCUUAGUCAAUACCAAUGCUAGCUUUUGGAGAACAUGAGAAGAAAAGCUGUAUAUCUCUAGACUAAGAUGGUGACUAGCUGGUUUCUAAGGAAGUAUUGGGCUAUACGAGGUCAUCUGGAAAUGAAAACAGUACACCUAGACAUAGAGACCUCUCAGGGUUCACACUGUGCAGAACCUGUCUGCAUGCCAGGAAUAGACUGUAACUUCCAUACCUAGGCAGGUAGGUGGGGACCAGGUGCCAGCCUGGGCUCAUUGACUGGGUUAUGUCCCUCGAGAGGAGAUAAGGAGUCAUCAAGGGGGAGUGAGUCAGGCAUGGCGGUGAGGGGAAUCCUGCAGCUUUGAAUAGCCAGCAAUCAGGUUGCCUCUUUAUUUAUACAGUUUUCACAAACAAAGACAGACUAAUGAUUAAAAGUACAGACUUUA